This 433-nucleotide ribosomal RNA is filed under the name uncultured bacterium. RNAcentral's name for it is "partial 16S ribosomal RNA". It matches the Rfam family "Bacterial small subunit ribosomal RNA", at positions 29 to 507 of the family's 1533-position model. The record is from RNAcentral.
AACGAACGCUGGCGGCAUGCCUAACACAUGCAAGUCGAACGAGACCUUCGGGUCUAGUGGCGCACGGGUGCGUAACGCGUGGGAACCUGCCCUUAGGUUCGGAAUAACUCCCCGAAAGGGGUGCUAAUACCGGAUAAUGUCUUCGGACCAAAGAGUUAUCGCCUUUGGAUGGGGCCGCGUUGGAUUAGCUAGUUGGUAGGGUAAAAGCCUACCAAGGCGACGAUCCAUAGCUGGUCUGAGAGGAUGAUCAGCCACACUGGGACUGAGACACGGCCCAGACUCCUACGGGAGGCAGCAGUGGGGAAUAUUGGACACUGAGCGCAAGCCUGAUCCAGCAAUGCCGCGUGAGUGAUGAAGGCCUUAGGGUUGUACAGCUCUUUUACCCGGGAUGAUAAUGACAGUACCGGGAGAAUAAGCUCCGGCUAACUACGUG